Molecule: ribosomal RNA, 254 nt
Filed under: uncultured bacterium
Lineage: Bacteria
Description: partial 16S ribosomal RNA
Rfam family: Bacterial small subunit ribosomal RNA
Source: RNAcentral
UACGUAGGGGGCAAGCGUUGUCCGGAAUUAUUGGGCGUAAAGAGCUCGUAGGCGGCUUAGUAAGUCGGCGGUGAAAUACCGAGGCUCAACCUCGGCACUGCCGUCGAUACUGCUAUGGCUAGAGUUUGGUAGAGGAGAACGGAAUUCCCGGUGUAGCGGUGGAAUGCGCAGAUAUCAGGAAGAACACCUAUGGCGAAGGCAGCUCUCUGGGACGGUACUGACGCUGAGGCGCGAAAGCUAGGGGAGCAAACGGG